RNAcentral lists this ribosomal RNA (705 nucleotides) under Staphylococcus sp. enrichment culture clone WW1_3-6. RNAcentral's name for it is "bacterial SSU rRNA". It matches the Rfam family "Bacterial small subunit ribosomal RNA", at positions 31 to 719 of the family's 1533-position model. Lineage: Bacteria; Bacillati; Bacillota; Bacilli; Caryophanales; Staphylococcaceae. The record is from RNAcentral.
GAACGCUGGCGGCGUGCCUAAUACAUGCAAGUCGAGCGAACAGAUAAGGAGCUUGCUCCUUUGACGUUAGCGGCGGACGGGUGAGUAACACGUGGGUAACCUACCUAUAAGACUGGGAUAACUUCGGGAAACCGGAGCUAAUACCGGAUAACAUUUGGAACCGCAUGGUUCUAAAGUGAAAGAUGGUUUUGCUAUCACUUAUAGAUGGACCCGCGCCGUAUUAGCUAGUUGGUAAGGUAACGGCUUACCAAGGCAACGAUACGUAGCCGACCUGAGAGGGUGAUCGGCCACACUGGAACUGAGACACGGUCCAGACUCCUACGAGAGGCAGCAGUAGGGAAUCUUCCGCAAUGGGCGAAAGCCUGACGGAGCAACGCCGCGUGAGUGAUGAAGGGUUUCGGCUCGUAAAACUCUGUUAUUAGGGAAGAACAAAUGUGUAAGUAACUGUGCACGUCUUGACGGUACCUAAUCAGAAAGCCACGGCUAACUACGUGCCAGCAGCCGCGGUAAUACGUAGGUGGCAAGCGUUAUCCGGAAUUAUUGGGCGUAAAGCGCGCGUAGGCGGUUUCUUAAGUCUGAUGUGAAAGCCCACGGCUCAACCGUGGAGGGUCAUUGGAAACUGGGAAACUUGAGUGCAGAAGAGGAAAGUGGAAUUCCAUGUGUAGCGGUGNNUGCGCAGAGAUAUGGAGGAACACCAGUGGCGAA